GAUCCUGGCUCAGGAUGAACGCUAGCGACAGGCUUAACACAUGCAAGUCGAGGGGCAGCAUAAAAGUAGCAAUACUUGGUGGCGACCGGCGCACGGGUGAGUAACGCGUAUGCAACCUACCUAUCAGAGGGGAAUAACCCGGCGAAAGUCGGACUAAUACCGCAUAAAACAGGGGCACCGCAUGGUGAUAUUUGUUAAAGAAAUUCGCUGAUAGAUGGGCAUGCGUUCCAUUAGGUAGUUGGUGAGGUAACGGCUCACCAAGCCGACGAUGGAUAGGGGAACUGAGAGGUUGGUCCCCCACACUGGUACUGAGACACGGACCAGACUCCUACGGGAGGCAGCAGUGAGGAAUAUUGGUCAAUGGGCGGGAGCCUGAACCAGCCAAGUCCGCGUGAAGGAAGAAGGAUCUAUGGUUCGUAAACUUCUUUUGCAGGGGAAUAAAGUGCAGGACGUGUCCUGUUUUGUAUGUACCCUGAGAAUAAGGAUCGGCUAACUCCGUGCCAGCCGCCGC
RNAcentral lists this ribosomal RNA (511 nucleotides) under uncultured bacterium. Its description in RNAcentral is "bacterial SSU rRNA". It matches the Rfam family "Bacterial small subunit ribosomal RNA", at positions 15 to 518 of the family's 1533-position model. The record is from RNAcentral.